AUUGAACGCUGGCGGCAUGCCUUACACAUGCAAGUCGAACGGCAGCACGGGAGCAAUCCUGGUGGCGAGUGGCGAACGGGUGAGUAAAGUAUCGGAACGUGACCAGUCGUGGGGGAUAACGUAGCGAAAGUUACGCUAAUACCGAAUACGAUCUAUGGAUGAAAGCGGGGGAUCGCAAGACCUCGCGCGAUUGGAGCGGCCGAUAUCAGAUGAGGUAGUUGGUGGGGUAAAGGCGAACCAAGCCGACGAUCUGUAGCUGGUCUGAGAGGACGACCGGCCACACUUGGACUGAAACACGGCCCAGACUCCUACGGGAGGCAGCAGUGGGGAAUUUUGGACAAUGGGCGAAAGCCUGAUCCAGCCAUGCCGCGUGCAGGAUGAAGGCCUUCGGGUUGUAAACUGCUUUUGUACGGAACGAAAAGGUUUGGCCUAAUAAGCUGAGCUCAUGACGGUACCGUAAGAAUAAGCACCGGCUAACUACGUGCCAGCCGCCGCGGUAA
Molecule: ribosomal RNA, 500 nt
Filed under: uncultured bacterium
Lineage: Bacteria
Description: partial 16S ribosomal RNA
Rfam family: Bacterial small subunit ribosomal RNA
Source: RNAcentral